AUUGAACGCUGGCGGCGUGCCUAACACAUGCAAGUCGAGCGGUGAGAGGGAGCUUGCUCCUUUGAUUAGCGGCGCACGGGUGAGUAACACGUGGAUAAUCUGCCCAUGGGUUCGGGAUACCAGCUGGAAACGGCUGACAAUACCGGGUAAUAUGCAAUUUUAUCGUUGUGUCAAAGGCGGUGUAAGCCGUCGCCUAUGGAUGAGUCCGCGUCUCAUUAGCUAGUGGGUGGGGUAAUGGCCUACCAAGGCAGUGAUGAGUAGCCGGCCUGAGAGGGUGAUCGGCCACGCUGGGACUGGAACACGGCCCAGACUCCUACGGGAGGCAGCAGUGGGGAAUAUUGCGCAAUGGACGGAAGUCUGACGCAGCGACGCCGCGUGAGGGAUGAAGGCCUUCGGGUCGUAAACCUCUGUCAGGAGGGAAGAACCGCCGGAGCAGGAAAUGGCUUUGGUCUGACGGUACCUCCAAAGGAAGCACCGGCUAACUCCGUGCCAGCCGCCGCCGUAA
Molecule: ribosomal RNA, 505 nt
Filed under: uncultured bacterium
Lineage: Bacteria
Description: partial 16S ribosomal RNA
Rfam family: Bacterial small subunit ribosomal RNA
Source: RNAcentral